This 253-nucleotide ribosomal RNA is filed under the name uncultured bacterium. RNAcentral's name for it is "partial 16S ribosomal RNA". It matches the Rfam family "Bacterial small subunit ribosomal RNA", at positions 524 to 776 of the family's 1533-position model. The record is from RNAcentral.
UACGUAGGGUGCGAGCGUUGUCCGGAAUUACUGGGCGUAAAGCGUGCGUAGACGGUUAUGUAAGUCGGGUGUGAAAGCCCCGGGCUCAACCUGGGAAUUGCAUUCGAGACUGUGUAGCUAGGGUACGGAAGAGGGAAGCGGAAUUUCAGGUGUAGCGGUGAAAUGCGUAGAUAUCUGAAGGAACACCAGUGGCGAAAGCGGCUUCCUGGUCCAGUACCGACGUUCAGGCACGAAAGCGUGGGGAGCAAACAGG